CCGGCGACCGGCGCACGGGUGAGUAACACGUAUGCAACCUGCCCUCUUCAGGGGGACAACCUUCCGAAAGGGAGGCUAAUCCCGCGUAUAUCGGUUUCGGGCAUCCGAGAUCGAGGAAAGAUUCAUCGGAAGAGGAUGGGCAUGCGGCGCAUUAGCUAGACGGCGGGGUAACGGCCCACCGUGGCGACGAUGCGUAGGGGUUCUGAGAGGAAGGUCCCCCACACUGGUACUGAGCACGGACCAGACUCCUACGGAAGGCAGCAG
This 264-nucleotide ribosomal RNA is filed under the name uncultured bacterium. RNAcentral describes it as "partial 16S ribosomal RNA". It matches the Rfam family "Bacterial small subunit ribosomal RNA", at positions 88 to 354 of the family's 1533-position model. The record is from RNAcentral.